RNAcentral lists this ribosomal RNA (253 nucleotides) under uncultured bacterium. Its description in RNAcentral is "partial 16S ribosomal RNA". It matches the Rfam family "Bacterial small subunit ribosomal RNA", at positions 524 to 776 of the family's 1533-position model. The record is from RNAcentral.
UACGUAGGGUGCGAGCGUUAAUCGGAAUUACUGGGCGUAAAGGAUGCGUAGGCGGACAUUUAAGUCAGAUGUGAAAUACCCGGGCUCAACUUGGGUGCUGCAUUUGAAACUGGGUGUCUAGAGUGCAGGAGAGGAAAGCGGAAUUCCUAGUGUAGCGGUGAAAUGCGUAGAGAUUAGGAAGAACACCAGUGGCGAAGGCGGCUUUCUGGACUGUAACUGACGCUGAGGCAUGAAAGCGUGGGGAGCAAACAGG